This 706-nucleotide long non-coding RNA is filed under the name Homo sapiens (human). RNAcentral's name for it is "non-protein coding EDRF1-AS1:32". The record is from RNAcentral. Lineage: Eukaryota; Metazoa; Chordata; Mammalia; Primates; Hominidae.
UUUUAAAUUUUAAUAUUUUUAGAGACCGUCCAGGCUGGACUUGAACUCCUUCCUCGGCUGAAGUGAUCCUCCUGCCUCAGCGUCCUGAAUAGGAAGUGGAGCCAGAAUCCACAGAUGUCAUUAUCCAUCUGCACACUUUGUUUACUACCCAGAAGGCAAGAAUAUUGCAUUUUAAAAGUGCCCGGACUUUUGUUCUUUCUUAUCACAAAUGACUUGGGAAGCUCCGACCACUCAUGUUUACCCCGAGUGAAAGUCCCAUUCAAAGCCUUGCUUCCUGGAGAGCUUUGAGAUUCUGGUACAAAAGGCAUUUUAUAAGCACAAAGUGGAAAAGCAUCAUUCAUAUUCAUUUGCUGCUGCGGCAUUUCUCCCUGGAAUCUUCCUCUUGUCUGUCAACAUUGGGCAAAAGGACUGGCCUCAUCUACAUUACAGAUAUCCUUGUGAUGGUCUGGAGGGACCUGUGGGAGAGGCGGCCAUCCAGAGGGCUCUCUGAGGGGUCAUUUAGAAUGCAACUCUUCUGGGCAGAGGAUGGUCUGCACUGGCCUCCACCACGCAGGAAGGCUUCCAGAGUGGAGAAAUGUCCACUAACAUGGCUUCUGUGAGGAGAGAUGAGAGGAAGUUAGAGGGGCUAGAAGAACCAGGAGACCUGUUGAAAAUCAUGAAUACAAAGAGAGGUCGUUUGCUUCUGUGCUUCAAUUCUAUAAUAAAA